RNAcentral lists this ribosomal RNA (253 nucleotides) under uncultured bacterium. Its description in RNAcentral is "partial 16S ribosomal RNA". It matches the Rfam family "Bacterial small subunit ribosomal RNA", at positions 524 to 776 of the family's 1533-position model. The record is from RNAcentral.
UACAGAGGUCCCGAGCGUUGUUCGGAUUCACUGGGCGUAAAGGGUGCGUAGGUGGUGAGGUAAGUCGGAUGUGAAAGCUCGGAGCUCAACUCCGAAAUGGCAUUGGAAACUACCUUGCUAGAGGAUUGGAAGGGGGACUGGAAUGCUUGGUGUAGCAGUGAAAUGCGUAGAUAUCAAGCGGAACACCAGUGGCGAAGGCGAGUCCCUGGACAACACCUGACACUGAGGCACGAAAGCUAGGGGAGCAAACAGG